Molecule: long non-coding RNA, 140 nt
Organism: Zingiber officinale
Lineage: Eukaryota; Viridiplantae; Streptophyta; Magnoliopsida; Zingiberales; Zingiberaceae
Exons: 3
Source: RefSeq, a predicted model, not a curated record
AGUUUACAAGUCAUUGAGAAUGCCUCAAGAUGCUAUUUUGUGCUAUCAGCAUGCUAUACAGGCACACCCAACUUACGCGAUGGCAUAUGUGGAAAAUUUAUAGACUGUUUCUUGGAGACCAGACAGGAUAAGUAGAUUGG